Dama dama (fallow deer) is the source of this 2220-nucleotide long non-coding RNA. RefSeq lists it as uncharacterized. The record is from RefSeq and is a predicted model, not a curated record. Lineage: Eukaryota; Metazoa; Chordata; Mammalia; Artiodactyla; Cervidae. The transcript is spliced from 3 exons.
GGGGCCGCCGCGCCGCGCCGGGACCGUCGCUCGCCCCUUUAAGGCGUGCGCGCCGGUCCGCGUCUGCCCCUGCGUACGGAAUUGUUUCCUUGUGCCUCCGGCCUUCAGGAAGACCGAGAAACCUCCCAGCGGAGCCGCCAGCUCUGACCGCCGGGGCUCAACCACCAUGCCGCUGCUCUGCGCCCCGGGCUCGGUUCCCGGAGAGAACCGUCCCUACCUUGUUUGGGGACACAGCUCCUUGCCUGCUGGGGAGAAGUCACCUCUGCUCUUUCCACAAGAUGCCGCGUUCCUGCAAGCGCGUGGCUUAGCCUGAAGGAACCGGCCUUAAUAAAGUCCCAGCCUUGGAAGGGCUGGGAAUGGGCGGGCGAGAGGGAGGGAGGAAAAAGAGGUCAAAACCACCGCUGUGGUCCUACACUCACCGCCCGAGGCGGGGCGGAGGGGAUCGGCAGCACGGAAGGAUGUAUCCAUCCCGGGCUAAACAAAAUCCAACUUUCCCUGACGCACCUUCUGGGAUCAAAGAGGGCUGUUCCCAUUUCGCCUUUUGCCACUUCCUCCCUGGGGUAUCUCCACCUCUCCAACGCGAACGGAGAACCAGUUCUUUGGGGGAUGUUUUGGUGUCCGGGGUGUGAUCUCCCCCGUAAAGGAACCACCACCCUUGGGUUUUCCCCUCCUGUCAGUGGAACCUGUGACCAGUGGUUCCUUCCUGUCAUUUUCCUUCCGGAAGGUGUCUCAGGGGUGCAUUCGAGCGUGACUCCAGACCCCCGGAUGAGUUUUGGAGGAGAGAUGUGCCUGCGGAGAAAACACAGCGCUGGAUAGGUGCUUCUGGCUGCCUCUUCCUCUUUCUGAGAUACCGCACCCCCUCCUCCCAACUCGCACGCACCCCAGCACAUACAGAGCAACAGGAGCAGAGAUGCUGUGGAGAUUAGAGAUACCAUCACGUUUGGAGCAUUUCUUGCACACGGUAGGAACAGGAUGAUUUCACCAAAGAGGAAGAGCCGCAAAGAAGGAGUAAGGCGUCUGUCUGGGCAGCUCCGGCUCUCCGGGACUCACACUGAGAUGUUGUAAUCUAUUAGGUUUCCAGCAGCUUCAUCAGAUAAAUUAGGAAAGAUAAAUUGGAGAAGGGGACGACAGAGGAUGAGAUGGUUGGAUGGCAUCACUGACUCAAUGGACAUGAGUUUCAGCAAGCUCCGAGAGAUGGUGAAGGACGGGGAAGCCUGACGUGCUGUAGUCCACGGGGUCACAGAGCCAGGCACGACUGAGCGACUGAGCAACAAAAGGAAAGCUACCUCACCAACAGGUACUGAAAUCUUAAGUUAUUUGGGGACCUUGUGAAGGGAGAAGUUCAUCUAGAUCUGUAGGGUGAAACAUGUAAUAAGUCCUUGGCAUGAUUUUCCUAACCCUGAGAGGUUUUUUUUAAAAAGUUCAGUUUGAAGUUUAAAGUUUGGGGAAAAAAAGUUGUUUGAGACUCCUUAUAACAAUUUCAGUAAAGCAAAAAGCCUAUAUGAUCAAUUAUAGUUAUAUAAAUUAUCAGGCCAAGAUACAUUUUUUGAGACCUGAUUUAUUUUGCAAACAAAUUAAUCUUAAUUUGGAUAUGUCUGGUAGAAAUGAGAGUAAUUUUAGAGAUUAAAAAGAUUAUGUUUCAAUGAAUGUUAAAUCCCAAUUAUGUAAAUGAGGGUCUGUAUUUACUCACUCACUUCCCAGAUAGUUCCUUCUUGUUAUGUUAUAUUAAUAUGAAGUUAAUCAAAUUAUUAAAAGGACACUCUAAGUUUUGUUUCUGAAGCUUAUCUCAGUAAUCUCUGGAUGAAGAUCAGAUGCUCCAUGACCUGCAAACAGGGGAUUACAUAUACUGGAAAAGACAUAAUUUAAAGGGCUGUCUCCAACCUAGAUGGAAGGACUUUUAAAUCAAGUAUUCUUAACUAGUUCAUGUACAGUGAAACUGAAGGGAAAUUGACUCUUGGAUUAAUUCCCACUUCUAAAGGCCCCUAUAACUGACUGACCUAGAGAGAGGACUGCUGACCUCAAACUCACCUCAAAACAAUGCUCAAAUAGAGGAAACUACACGUACACCAGGAAGAGAAGAAAAUGACAUGAGAAGUAGGCAGCUUACCAAGAUCCUGGACCUGAUUUGUGUGAUCUUGACUUCUUAGACUUUUACAUAUAAAUAAAAAAUUUUCUAUCAUGGAUAUGAUAUGCUAGUUUUAAAGAUCAACCCCAAUUGUU